CGGCCACCACCGCAACCACUACAUCACUGUUCUUCUCUUUUCCGUAUCUCUUCGAUUCUCUCCCCAUAUCUUCUCUCCCACCCACUACGCCUCUCCUCCCCGACUUCGGCAUCACCGCCACCUCGCUUCCCGUCCCCCUCACUUGUCGAGCAGGGCCCCCGCAAGCAGCUCGCCACUGUUCCCUUCGCUUGCCGUGCGGGCCCCAGCCUGGCGCGGUGGCGCGGCUGGCCUGGCACGGCGGGCGGGCGGUGGUGGAGCUGAGCCACGUAGUGGAGGGGCACCUGGGCAGCUCGCAGACACAGGAGCGGUGCAGGCUCCUGGCCUCGCAGAUCUGCUCCUUCACCGAGCGCCAAGUCUGCGCGGCUGGAAGCGGCCAGCAGUAGAUGCGGCGGCACCCAGUGUGCUCAGCGACACCUCCGACGCUCCCUUCAAGGCCACCAAGAAGAGGAGGACAAUGGAGAGCGUGAAGCUCAAGUGAGGGAGAGCUUGCCCGCUGUUGGCGAUGUCUCCGCCGACGACUGGCACAACUGGAGGAAGUGCGGCAUUGCAGGCUCCGAGGCGCGGAGCGCGGAAGGGCUAGGGACGCGCAGACGGCCCGGGCUCGGCUCUGGCGGCGGUGUGCAGCGCUGCCGGCGUGCGGCGAGGCCGACGGCUGCGGCCCGCAGCACCUGCUUCCGGCCAUUUUUAUAUAUUUAUUUUCCGAUUUGUAGUGGUGGAUGGGACAUGACACGCCCCUGAGAAUUCAUUUCUUAGGCUAAAUCAUGCCCCCAUCCGCCCCUACAAAUUGAUUUAUAGGGGCGGAUGAAGACAUGAUCUGUUCUUAGAGUGAAUUUUUAGGGACGACUGCGUUAUCCGUGCUUACAAAUAUCAUUUUUAGCAGUGAAAAUUAGGAGUGAGUGUGCUGUCCGUUCCUAAAAAUACGGUUUUACCUGCCCCUACAAACUUUUAUUGUAGCAUUGGCUGAAAUUUCGGUGACAAGCGUUUACUGGCAAAUGAUAUAAAUAGGAGCCCUCUUCACUGACCC
Molecule: long non-coding RNA, 1024 nt
Organism: Panicum virgatum (switchgrass)
Lineage: Eukaryota; Viridiplantae; Streptophyta; Magnoliopsida; Poales; Poaceae
Exons: 2
Source: RefSeq, a predicted model, not a curated record